CGGGCGGCUGCUAUACAUGCAGUCGAGCGGACAGAUGGGAGCUUGCUCCCUGAUGUUAGCGGCGGACGGGUGAGUAACACGUGGGUAACCUGCCUGUAAGACUGGGAUAACUCCGGGAAACCGGGGCUAAUACCGGAUGCUUGUUUGAACCGCAUGGUUCAAACAUAAAAGGUGGCUUCGGCUACCACUUACAGAUGGACCCGCGGCGCAUUAGCUAGUUGGUGAGGUAACGGCUCACCAAGGCAACGAUGCGUAGCCGACCUGAGAGGGUGAUCGGCCACACUGGGACUGAGACACGGCCCAGACUCCUACGGGAGGCAGCAGUAGGGAAUCUUCCGCAAUGGACGAAAGUCUGACGGAGCAACGCCGCGUGAGUGAUGAAGGUUUUCGGAUCGUAAAGCUCUGUUGUUAGGGAAGAACAAGUACCGUUCGAAUAGGGCGGUACCUUGACGGUACCUAACCAGAAAGCCACGGCUAACUACGUGCCAGCAGCCGCGGUAAUACGUAGGUGGCAAGCGUUGUCCGGAAUUAUUGGGCGUAAAGGGCUCGCAGGCGGUUUCUUAAGUCUGAUGUGAAAGCCCCCGGCUCAACCGGGGAGGGUCAUUGGAAACUGGGGAACUUGAGUGCAAAAAAGGAGAGUGGAAUUCCACGUGUAGCGGUGAAAUGCGU
RNAcentral lists this ribosomal RNA (669 nucleotides) under Bacillus subtilis. RNAcentral describes it as "bacterial SSU rRNA". It matches the Rfam family "Bacterial small subunit ribosomal RNA", at positions 36 to 691 of the family's 1533-position model. Lineage: Bacteria; Bacillati; Bacillota; Bacilli; Caryophanales; Bacillaceae. The record is from RNAcentral.